CCCCUUGCCCUCCUUCAUUUGUGUCCUCUCCCGAGCCAUCUGCUAUGGAAGUCCAGGGCUAUUGAUUAGAAUCAUUGUGCUGCGGACCCCAUGCUAAUCUAUACCGUUAGUGGCCAUCGGUUUGCGCUUUGCAUUGCAUCUGUCCCUGCGCCGCCAUCUCCAUGACCUAGCAGUUUUGAGUCUGUGUACCGUACAGCGGAGAUGUUCGAAUUACAGAGCAAGACCAGUACACAUGCUCCUGACUGACCAAACAGCAACCACAGGAUGGACCUUCAUACUGGAGCUUA
Long non-coding RNA from Alosa alosa (allis shad), 287 nucleotides. RefSeq lists it as uncharacterized. The record is from RefSeq and is a predicted model, not a curated record. NCBI's taxonomy places the organism in Eukaryota, Metazoa, Chordata, Actinopteri, Clupeiformes, Clupeidae. The transcript is spliced from 2 exons.